Molecule: ribosomal RNA, 253 nt
Filed under: uncultured bacterium
Lineage: Bacteria
Description: partial 16S ribosomal RNA
Rfam family: Bacterial small subunit ribosomal RNA
Source: RNAcentral
UACGUAGGGACCAAGCGUUGUCCGGAAUCAUUGGGCGUAAAGCGCGCGUAGGCGGCCCGGUAAGUCCGUUGUGAAAGUCGAAGGCUCAACCUUCGAAAGCCGAUGGAUACUGCCGGGCUAGAGUACGGAAGAGGCGAGUAGAAUUCCUGGUGUAGCGGUGGAAUGCGCAGAUAUCAGGAGGAAUACCCAUAGCGAAGGCAGCUCGCUGGGACGUUACUGACGCUGAGGCGCGAAAGCGUGGGGAGCGAACAGG